UGCAAAUACUACCGUGCCACCUACAGGGGGGUAAUUCAAAUUAACAAAUAUAGGUCAUCGUAUGGUCUUUUAAUGAGCAAAGCCCAUACCGUAUAGUUAGCAAUUUAAGACCCCGAAAUGACAAAUGUAAAACAAUUCAGACGCGAAAACUAACGGCCUAAUUUAUGUACAAAAAAUGAAUGAAUAACAAACAUGUAACACAUC
Molecule: long non-coding RNA, 204 nt
Filed under: Mytilus galloprovincialis (Mediterranean mussel)
Lineage: Eukaryota; Metazoa; Mollusca; Bivalvia; Mytilida; Mytilidae
Source: RNAcentral